UCCGAGUUGUCCCCGGCAGUCCUUUUAGAGUCCCCGGCAUUACCCGCUGGCAACUAAAAGCAGGGGUUGCGCUCGUUGCGGCACUUAAGCCAACACCUCACGGCACGAGCUGACGACAGCCAUGCAGCACCUGUGCUAGCCCCUUACGGACACCGGCUUUCACCGGCUUUAACCAGCAUGUCAAACCCAGGUAAGGUGGGGAUGACGUGUCGUUACCUUA
RNAcentral lists this unclassified non-coding RNA (220 nucleotides) under uncultured Actinomycetes bacterium. RNAcentral's name for it is "uncultured actinobacterium contains 16S-23S intergenic spacer region". Lineage: Bacteria; Bacillati; Actinomycetota; Actinomycetes. The record is from RNAcentral.